UACAGAGGUCCCAAGCGUUGUUCGGAUUUACUGGGCGUAAAGGGUGCGUAGGCGGUUGGGUAAGUCUGACGUGAAAUCUCCGGUCUCAACCCGGAAACUGCGUUGGAUACUAUUUGACUAGAGGAAUGGAGGGGAGACUGGAAUACUUGGUGUAGCAGUGAAAUGCGUAGAUACCAAGUGGAACACCAGUGGCGAAGGCGAGUCUCUGGACAUUUCCUGACGUUGAGGCACGAAAGCCAGGGGAGCAAACGGG
RNAcentral lists this ribosomal RNA (253 nucleotides) under uncultured bacterium. Its description in RNAcentral is "partial 16S ribosomal RNA". It matches the Rfam family "Bacterial small subunit ribosomal RNA", at positions 524 to 776 of the family's 1533-position model. The record is from RNAcentral.